CCCUAGCCCUGAUUGCAACGGCAUCCUUUUUCUUGAGGCUUUUUUACCGAAAGAAAAAGAUAUAGUGAAAAGCAGGAAGCAGC
Molecule: small RNA, 83 nt
Filed under: Flavobacterium weaverense
Lineage: Bacteria; Pseudomonadati; Bacteroidota; Flavobacteriia; Flavobacteriales; Flavobacteriaceae
Description: Flavo-1 RNA
Rfam family: Flavo-1 RNA
Source: RNAcentral